RNAcentral lists this ribosomal RNA (385 nucleotides) under uncultured bacterium. RNAcentral's name for it is "bacterial SSU rRNA". It matches the Rfam family "Bacterial small subunit ribosomal RNA", at positions 112 to 507 of the family's 1533-position model. The record is from RNAcentral.
AACACGUGAGAAACCUGCCCCGAAGACCCGGGAUAGCCCAUGGAAACGUGGAUUAAUACCGGAUACCCUCGCGGGACCGCAUGAUUCUGGCAGGAAAGGCUCCGGCGCUUUGGGAUGGACUCGCGGCCGUAUCAGCUUGUUGGUGAGGUAACGGCUCACCAAGGCACUGACGGGUAGCUGGUCUGAGAGGACGAUCAGCCACACUGGGACUGAGACACGGCCCAGACUCCUACGGGAGGCAGCAGCAGGGAAUAUUGCACAAUGGGCGCAAGCCUGAUGCAGCGACGCCGCGUGAGGGAUGAAGGCCUUCGGGUUGUAAACCUCUUUCAGUGGGGAAGAAGCGCAAGUGACGGUACCCACACAAGAAGGCCCGGCCAACUACGUG